Oxyura jamaicensis (ruddy duck) is the source of this 1689-nucleotide long non-coding RNA. RefSeq lists it as uncharacterized. Lineage: Eukaryota; Metazoa; Chordata; Aves; Anseriformes; Anatidae. The record is from RefSeq and is a predicted model, not a curated record. The transcript has 9 exons.
CUCACUGAUGCAAAAAGGAUGACUCUCAUUGAAGUGAGCUGGCAAAAAGCCACUUCCAAAUCAAUGUAGGAAGUCGUGCCUGUUGUGCUUAAAGCCAGCUUCUCCUGCUGCGUGCAGGCUGCUGCAGCCUCGCUGCCGGCACUGAGCCUGCGCUGGCAGGACUGGGAGGGCAGCAGAGGACUCGGUUUGUACUGCUGGGAGUGAAAAUUCAUGGGCAGCAUUAUGGCAGUUUUAUGGACUUCUUCACAAAGGUUUACCAGAAGACCUGUACACAAGAUGCAAUUUCGGAUUCAGUUAAUCUACAGUGCCGUUACUUCCAUCGUGAUGCUCAGAAAACUGCUUUCCUUCCAGCCUACGAUACAGACAUAGAGUGAUUAUUUCUAUUACGAACGCAAGUACCGUGGUGUGAGAAUCUCAUCCAGACUCUUUGAAAGCAGUCCAACAGACUGGGAAAGGGGCCAGGGAGAUUUAAAAGGGAAAAGCAGGAAACGAGACAAACAAACAAAAAGGGCAAAGAAAUGCUCGGGAACUCUUCACGCCAAAGCAAGCAGCAGUGCUGGUGGCGCAGCUGGCACACGGCAGAUAACAAGACACCAGAAGCUUGCACUGUGACAUGGAAAAUAUAGUUCCAUCACUAUGACAAUAUCUUCCUUGCAAAGAUAACCUUAGAAAGUUGUGGGUGUGCAUAUAUAUCCAAUCUUACGUAUCUUGAAGAACUAGAUAAGCGGUGAGUACAGCUGCAUAACCUCCAGUGACAGAGAUGGGAUCAGAUACUUUUGCCGUGAACUGAAAGGCAGAAAUGCCAUUCUUGGGUCAGCAUUUGGCAGAGGGGGAAGAAAAGGACAGGAAAACAUGCCAUGCUGGAUAAAAUGGAGUCAGUUCUGAUUUCCAGACUGAAAUCUCAGGCUUCCUAAACGUUGCACUAACACCAUUUCAUCCCUGCUCAGUCUAACACCAAAUAUGUUUGUCUACUGUCCUAAUUACUUAAUGUAAUAAGCAGCCUAUAGAUAUUUCUCCUUUGCAAACUUCACCUGGGAUGGAAGUGCCCGACCCACGCUGUCCACAGGUGGAAUUAUGACGAUAUCUACUCAAUGAGGAGGUGUACCUUGGGGAAGACGUAUCCUACGAGCACUUCAGCAGCAGUCUUUACAGCCACACCUACUGACUAUGCCAACAAUUUGACAGGCUUUCCUACAAAACAGCCGUGUGGAGACUACCCAGCGAGCCGCAGUGAGGUGUGCUAGUUCAAAGGCGCUCGCUUGGCACGCUUUCCAGCUGGUGCAAGAGUGAUAAAAAGAAAGGAGUGAGUGCAGCUCAUUAGCUCGUGAGUUGUGUUGUCAGCAGUGGGCAAAUGAAGCAAACAUCUCCAAAAUGAGUGUCUAUGCUGGGAACAGGAGGCAAAUGAGGCCCAUGAGCUCAGCAAGCGUCCUGCAGAUUGACUUUGGAAGAUUUUUGGUCCAAUUGUUCAUCAAGGUAUCGACAUAGUUCUCUGUUUCUGAUAAUGUCACUUGGAGGAACGGGUUUGGAAACAGAACUUUGCAGGGGUGGAACUAUAGGAUCUGCUGUUCUGUGGUGUACCCUCUGUGUCUCACUGUAUCCUGUAGUGUCCCGGCUGUAUCUCCCCCACUUCUCAGUCAAGCAUACUACUGUUCACCUCAGGAGAAUGGAUGAGCAGGAAGAAACAUUAAA